GUCCUUUAGAUAUUAAUUUAAGGUCUAACCUGCCCACUGAAUUAUUUUUAAAUGGCCGCAGUAAUUUGACUGUGCAAAGGUAGCAUAAUCAUUAGUUUUUUAAUUAAAAGCUUGUAUGAAAGGUUGGACGAAGUAAAAUCUGUCUCUAAUUAAAUUAAUUUAGAAUUUAACUUUUAAGUUAAAAGGCUUAAAUUUAACUAAAAGACGAGAAGACCCUAUAGAUCUUUAUAUCUUAAUUAUUAGAUUUAAUUAUGAAUUUUUUAAAUUUUAUUAAUAAAGUUAUUUUAUUGGGGUAAUAUAAAGAUUAAAAUAAUUCUUUUUUUUUAUUUACAUUAAUUUAUGAGUUUUAUGAUCCAAUUUUAUUGAUUAAAAGAUUAAGUUACCUUAGGGAUAACAGCGUAAUUUUUUUAGAGAGUUCUUAUCGAUAAAAAAGUUUGCGACCUCGAUGUUGGAUUAAAGAUUAUUUUAGGUGCAGAAGUUUAAAAAUUUUGGUCUGUUCGACCAUUAAAUCUUUACAUGAUCUGAGUUCAGACCGGUGUAAGCCAGGUCGGUUUCUAUCUUUAGUAAAUUAAAAUAUUUUAGUACGAAAGGACCAAUUAUUUAAUAUAUUAAUAUUUAUAAUUUUUGUUUAUUAUUAAA
RNAcentral lists this ribosomal RNA (639 nucleotides) under Nebria mellyi teletskiana. Its description in RNAcentral is "partial large subunit ribosomal RNA". The stretch from base 390 to 549 matches the Rfam family "Bacterial large subunit ribosomal RNA", at positions 2473 to 2632 of the family's 2925-position model. Lineage: Eukaryota; Metazoa; Arthropoda; Insecta; Coleoptera; Carabidae. The record is from RNAcentral.